UGAGUUUGAUCCUGGCUCAGAAGGAACGCUAGCUAUAUGCUUAACACAUGCAAGUCGAACGUUGUUUUCGGGGAGCUGGGCAGAAGGAAAAGAGGCUCCUAGCGUGAAGGUAGCUUGUCUCGCCCAGGAGGUGGGAACAGUUGAAAACAAAGUGGCGAACGGGUGCGUAAUGCGUGGGAAUCUGCCGAACAGUUCGGGCCAAAUCCUGAAGAAAGCUAAAAAGCGCUGUUUGAUGAGCCUGCGUAGUAUUAGGUAGUUGGUCAGGUAAAGGCUGACCAAGCCAAG
RNAcentral lists this ribosomal RNA (285 nucleotides) under Lathyrus oleraceus (garden pea). RNAcentral's name for it is "Pisum sativum (pea) partial 19S ribosomal RNA". It matches the Rfam family "Bacterial small subunit ribosomal RNA", at positions 1 to 277 of the family's 1533-position model. Lineage: Eukaryota; Viridiplantae; Streptophyta; Magnoliopsida; Fabales; Fabaceae. The record is from RNAcentral.